Molecule: long non-coding RNA, 2381 nt
Filed under: Ananas comosus (pineapple)
Lineage: Eukaryota; Viridiplantae; Streptophyta; Magnoliopsida; Poales; Bromeliaceae
Description: long non-coding RNA (ACOM_LNC034402)
Source: RNAcentral
CUGUAUUUGCACGGCGUCGCACGAGUACAAAAUUUUCAAACAGAGUAUUACCAGGAUACAACCACACUACAUGAAUAUACAAUACUCAACAUUCAUUCACCAUUCACCAGAUAUUUAUCAUUUAGUGUUUAAACAUAAAAACCAUGAGAAAACUCUUUUGAAAGCUGUUUCCCUACACGGAAACCUUUUCUUUUAAACGCGCUACCACGAGGGGUAGAAAACUACUUUUAUUUUCACAAAUUUCACAAAUCCCUUUAUUACAUUCAUGAAAACCCACAUUUUCAAAUGUAAUAAUAAUACUGAACCAUAUAAACUAUCUGAGCUAUAUCAACAUAAUAGUAAGGGCAGAAACUAAACCGAAUAACCUGGGUCGAAAGCUCUAUCGACCGCUACGAACGUGUCUCACAUCUCGUCUCGACUCUCACCGCCCGCAAUACCUGAAAAAUGGUGGGGGAGGUGAGAACAUGUAAACAUGUCUCCCCUCCCAGUGGGUACCGCAAGCCGAUGAAGGCGAGGAGUACUCACCGGAUCAGGAAGAGCUAAACAACAGUACGGGUCAGUAGAAAAUACAGUAGCAAUAAUAAUGAACAAAAGAGAUAUAUAUAUAAAUGAAAGUACAACUACUGCUACUGUAAAGAGCAACUGAAUGUAUACAUGUAACAAAACUAUAAUAGCAAGACAAUGUAACGAAAGAACUGGAGGUAUGCAAGCAACAACCGCUACUAUAGCUAUAUGUGUCAACUAGACGAUAAGUUCAAAUAUACCCAAUCUGGAAACCGCCAUAUUGGUCUGUAGACCUCAAGCCUGUGCCACAACUGCUCAAUCUAUACGUAACCCUCGCAUAAAGCACCCAGAUUCGUAAGGUAUAUGACCCUCGCAUCAAGCACCCGGGUCUGAAAGCAUAUAACCCUCGCAUCAAGCACCGGGGCUCACGGGUUGGCACUCCCAACCACUUUUCCGAAAAAGAACACCCUCUUGCGGUGGCCAAACCGUUGGUGUUCGUGAAAUGCAUACAAGCAGUGGCGAUCAAUGCCGAAUGCUCAAUAGUAAGCCGUCGGCAACCAGCCGACAAUCACCGCCCCUCGGGGCACACCGACCAAUAGGUCAUCGAACUGAAGAAACACAAGUACCGACCACUCAGGUCAACUAGGAUGGAACAACUCAACAUCCUAUCGAAGAUAUGCAAGUAUAAUCCAGAUGUAACGAACUGACCGUCUGGGUCAUAACCAAACAUCGGCAACUAGCCGACAAUCCAAACCCUCCAGGUAUACUGACCGUAUAGGUCACCAAAUAGUCCAACCGACCAAUAAGGUCACAGAUACGAAGUACGAGAACUGACCAACCAGGUCACAGAUGUCCCAAGAACGGAUGCAGAGAAUCGACUGAAUAUGUCACAACAGCAGAUGCAACGAACUGACCGAUUAGGUCACAAAACAUCGGCAACUAGCCGACAAUCCAACCCCUCAGGUAAACUGACCGCGUAGGUCACUAAGUAGUCCAACUGACCACAUAUAUCACAACAACGGAUGUGAAGUACGGGAACCGACCAACAGGUCAUAGAUGUCAUAAGCAGAUAAAUCUACUCUACUCCUAAACAUAGAAACAACUGAGUAGAUUAUGACGGAAACAAUAUGGGUGCAAGGCUCAAUAAAUACUAUGCAAUAGUAACAAUAGGAGAGCAAGGGUAAGAAACCAUCACCGAGCGUGCACCACUGUACCAACGUCGGAUCGAAGUACCUACCUGUAAGGAUGUCGCGUCUGUCUCCUGACUGCAAAAGAAUGUCGACAGGACCUAUAGAGGGUCCACCGGGUUAGUAUCUAACCCCCAACUAAUAACCACAGUAUCCACAACCCCACAAACAAUUUCACGAAGAUCGAUUUCCCAAUACCGAUUACCAUAACUCGCCGGAAGUCCCGAAAACCACACCGGGACGCCGUCGGGACCCACUAAGUGUCCCGAAACUCACCGACUCGUGCUACGAGUCACCCGCUACCACUAGACAUAAAUAAUCGUGCAUCAUGGCAGCAAACACAACUCCUCACGUCGAAACAAUUACCGUCGGAUAAUCGUUUCGAUCCAGGUUCCCGAAAGUGUCAAUUUCGACACCGGAACCCACCGUCGCUCACCCGUCAUUUCUGAACUCUCAAAAUGAUGCGAGUGACCAGCCAACAAGGCUCAGCGACUGAACAAUCCAUCACGAAGCACCGUCGGAAUAAUUCCGAACCGAACCCACGUUCCGUCGGCGGAUUUUGCCGAGAAACGAGUCGGAAAUCACUUAUCGAUCUCUGCAAAGGUUUGGGGCCUUGGACAAUCAGUCCAGAGGUCACCCACAGCAUGUACACGCUGCCCACAGCUACCACGAUAAACCAAAUUGCAUAAA